Molecule: transfer RNA, 74 nt
Filed under: candidate division WOR-1 bacterium RIFOXYA12_FULL_36_13
Lineage: Bacteria; Bacillati
Also listed under: 2 other names
Description: tRNA-His
Rfam family: tRNA
About the family: Transfer RNA (tRNA) molecules are approximately 80 nucleotides in length. Their secondary structure includes four short double-helical elements and three loops (D, anti-codon, and T loops).
Source: RNAcentral
GCGGCCUUGGUGUAGAGGUAACACAGCAGAUUGUGGUUCUGCUUUCAGGGGUUCAAUUCCCCUAGGCCGCCCCA